RNAcentral lists this ribosomal RNA (254 nucleotides) under uncultured prokaryote. Its description in RNAcentral is "partial 16S ribosomal RNA". It matches the Rfam family "Bacterial small subunit ribosomal RNA", at positions 525 to 777 of the family's 1533-position model. The record is from RNAcentral.
ACGGGGGGAGCAAGCGUUGUUCGGAUUUACUGGGCGUAAAGGGCGCGUAGGCGGUUAUUUAAGUCAGGUGUGAAAGCCCUGGGCUUAACCUAGGAAUUGCGCUUGAGACUGGAUAGCUUGGAGUGCGGCAGAGGGAGGUGGAAUUCCACGUGUAGCAGUGAAAUGCGUAGAGAUGUGGAGGAACACCGAUGGCGAAGGCAGCCUCCUGGGCCAGCACUGACGCUCAUGCACGAAAGCGUGGGGAGCAAACAGGA